This 245-nucleotide ribosomal RNA is filed under the name uncultured Byssovorax sp. RNAcentral describes it as "partial 16S ribosomal RNA". It matches the Rfam family "Bacterial small subunit ribosomal RNA", at positions 524 to 768 of the family's 1533-position model. The record is from RNAcentral. Lineage: Bacteria; Pseudomonadati; Myxococcota; Polyangiales; Polyangiaceae.
GACAGAGGGUGCAAACGUUGUUCGGAAUUACUGGGCGUAAAGCGCGUGUAGGCUGCUCCAAAAGUCGGAUGUGAAAGCCUUGGGCUCAACCUAGGAAGUGCAUUCGAUACUGUGGAGCUGGAGUCCUGGAGAGGAAGGCGGAAUUCUCGGUGUAGAGGUGAAAUUCGUAGAUAUCGAGAGGAACACCGGUGGCGAAGGCGGCCUUCUGGACAGUGACUGACGCUGAGACGCGAAAGCGUGGGGAG